RNAcentral lists this ribosomal RNA (983 nucleotides) under Odorrana huanggangensis. Its description in RNAcentral is "partial large subunit ribosomal RNA". It matches the Rfam family "Bacterial large subunit ribosomal RNA", at positions 942 to 2567 of the family's 2925-position model. Lineage: Eukaryota; Metazoa; Chordata; Amphibia; Anura; Ranidae. The record is from RNAcentral.
AGUUUUUUUAUUUUAUCAAACAAGCUCAAAAACUUAAGAGUUAUUCAAAUUAGGCACAGCUUAUUUGAAACAGGAUACAACCUCAACCAUUGGGUAAACAAGGGCAAUAAAAAUAAAGUGGGCCCAAAAGCAGCCAUCUUCCAAAAAGCGUCAAAGCUUAAUUACUUAGGCCCAUAAUUUCCAAAACACUCUACAACCCCUCACCAAUACUGAACUAUUUUAUAUUUAUAUAAAAAUAAUUAUGCUAGAACUAGUAACAAGAAGCUGCCCUUCUCCUUAAUGUAAAUAUACACCAAAACGGACACUCCAUUGGUAGUUAACGUAGAUGUAAAACCAUAACAACACAACCAGAAAACCUUAUGGCCACCCAACGUUACCCUUACACCAGAACAUUACAGGAAAGAUUAAAAGAAAGAGAAGGAACUCGGCAAAUUUUAACCCCGCCUGUUUACCAAAAACAUCGCCUCUUGAUUAAACAUAAGAGGUCCAGCCUGCCCAGUGAUAAUAUUAAACGGCCGCGGUAUACUAACCGUGCGAAGGUAGCAUAAUCACUUGUUCUUUAAAUGGGGACUUGUAUCAACGGCAUCACGAGGGUUAUACUGUCUCCUCUCUCCAAUCAGUGAAACUGAUCCCCCCGUGAAGAAGCGGGGAUUUUACUAUAAGACGAGAAGACCCCAUGGAGCUUUAAACUCGACAUACACUAGGUAUUAAAACACCAAUUUAACCCAAAAACCUGUACGUCAGUUUUAGGCUGGGGGGACCACGGAGUAAAACUAAACCUCCACAACAAAUGGGCUAACACCCUAAUCUAAGAUUUAUAAAUCUAAGAAUCACCAAAAUGAUGUUUAAUGACCCGAUAAUUCGAUCAAUGAACCAAGUUACCCUGGGGAUAACAGCGCAAUCUACUUCAAGAGCCCUUAUCGACAAGUGGGUUUACGACCUCGAUGUUGGAUCAGGGUAUCCUAGUGGUGCAACCGCUACUA